Molecule: ribosomal RNA, 442 nt
Filed under: uncultured bacterium
Lineage: Bacteria
Description: SSU rRNA
Rfam family: Bacterial small subunit ribosomal RNA
Source: RNAcentral
AGAACGAACGCUGGCGGCAGGCUUAACACAUGCAAGUCGAGCGCCCAGCAAUGGGAGCGGCGGACGGGUGAGUAACACGUGGGAACAUGCCUUUCGGUACGGAACAACUUCGGGAAACUGAAGCUAAUGCCGUAUGCGCCCUUACGGGGAAAGAUUUAUCGCCGAAAGAUUGGCCCGCGUCUGAUUAGCUAGUUGGUGAGGUAACGGCUCACCAAGGCUUCGAUCAGUAGCUGGUUUGAGAGAACGACCAGCCACACUGGGACUGAGACACGGCCCAGACUCCUACGGGAGGCAGCAGUGGGGAAUCUUGGACAAUGGAGGAAACUCUGAUCCAGCCAUGCCGCGUGAGUGAUGAAGGCCUUCGGGUUGUAAACUCUUUUACCAGGGAAGAUAAUGACUGUACCUGGAGAAUACGCCCGGCUAACUUCGUGCCAGCAGCCGC